Ovis aries (sheep) is the source of this 72-nucleotide transfer RNA. It matches the Rfam family "tRNA". Rfam says of the family: Transfer RNA (tRNA) molecules are approximately 80 nucleotides in length. Their secondary structure includes four short double-helical elements and three loops (D, anti-codon, and T loops). The record is from Rfam. NCBI's taxonomy places the organism in Eukaryota, Metazoa, Chordata, Mammalia, Artiodactyla, Bovidae.
UCUCUGGUUGCUCAGAGGAUAAAGCGUCUGCCUGCAAUGCAGGAGGCCCGGGUUCGAUCCCUGGGUUGGGAA